This is an RNA transcript of Bombus terrestris (buff-tailed bumblebee), 18509 nucleotides long. RefSeq lists it as uncharacterized. The transcript is spliced from 6 exons. The record is from RefSeq and is a predicted model, not a curated record. NCBI's taxonomy places the organism in Eukaryota, Metazoa, Arthropoda, Insecta, Hymenoptera, Apidae.
CAUUAACAUAUCCCGGCUAUCGGAUGGGGCUCUCUACACUUAACGUUGCUCUCUGGUAUCGUCGGUAUCUAGAAUAUUGUUUUGAUAAUGCGCGUUUCGUAUGUUUGCCGAGGGUUUGUUACAACGAAGCUCCUGUUGAAUUAGCAUCAACGCUGGUGGAACAUAUUUGCGAAUCAAGAAUGGUUGCCACAUGAUGUAAUACGAAUUGAAAAUCGAAAACGAAUUAAAUAAGAAAGCAAAGCAUCGAAAUACGGAGAAAUUGAAACGGUGAGCGAUGUGAAUGGUGAAAAGAUAAAACACCAUCUUUCGUAACGAUAUCUGCACUCCAUCCCGCGCGGCUUGACAGAUAAAGUUACCCACAUUUACCCGCAACAGCUGUUAAGUUGGCGAAACGGUGACUACAUGAAGGCAGCAGUCUGCCUCUGCUCCCGCUAUAAAACCUCUCUCCUUAAAAGACCUCUCUUUCAAGACCCAGACAUAUCCAAGACCCACAGAAUCACGCGCGAGUCGGAUUCGAAAAGCACGUUAAAACGAAUAAAAAAAAAAAAGGAGACGCAAAACAAAGGAAAAUAAAAGAGGGAGAGAGAGAGAGAGGGAGAGAGAGAGGGAAAGAGAGAAAGAGGGAGGAAAAGGCACAAGUGUUGGCCGGUGUGUGCGACUCGAUGCGGAACGGAAGCGUGAACGAUGCACGGGGUGGCCGGGGCCGGGUUAGCAGCGUUAGAGUCCGGGGGUGAAAAGGGAAGAGAACGGCAGGUGUCUCGAUGGGGUGGUAGGGAGAUGCGCGGUGUAUUAAACCCGGUGACUCUUGCCGCGCAGCGUGGGAGUUAGUUCUGGUGAGGGCGCCAGCCAGCUCACUCGCUAAACUAACCCACCGUCCCAACCCUUCGAUCCUCCAUCCCUCGACUUUCGGCCAACAAAGCAACAUCCACGGCCGCAACCUCCUUUCACCGACUCCGCAGCCGCUGUUUUUUCGCGACUUCCUGCCCGGCCCGCGUCUAAAUACCGUACGACGUACUGAGAAAGGAAAAGGAAUCGGUGACCAUUCAACAAACAGGGAACGAACAACUUUUCUUUGGCAUUCUCGCGUCUCCCAGAACCUACGUGUAUACGUACAUUACGUAUACUCUGCUCGCGGCAAAGGCGAGCAUGCGAGCAACACAAACUCGUAGCAAGAGAACGUAAUAGUUGAACAUAGAAGAAUAGUACAAGAAAGUGAAUUCAUUUUUGAAGAGGUUCGAACGAGCAACGAAUGGUACGAGGCAGCGGGAUAUAACAAGAUUAGAAAGGAAGGAGGAAACAGGUUGGUCCCCGUGGUUACGUCGAUCGACGCGUUUUUAACCGGACGUUCUCGACGUCAUCGUCGUGGAUGACGAGUAUCAGCGAACGACAGCCAGCAACAUGUUAGUGGACUGGUGUUCGCACCAUUUUGUGUUCGCGUGAUCCGGUCCGUCGGUGAUGAACAAACUGGAUGGAACGGUAUCCCAUCACGGCAAGAAUAAACUAACCGCUGAAUAAACCAAGUUUAAACACGAGUACGUUUACGGGUAUUGUAAUCGACUGUAAAACGAGUUUCCACGAGUAGAAGGUCGUUGAAAGUUGUUCAAAAAGUAUCAACGAUCAUCCAUCAGACUUUAGAGGAUUUUACGUGCGAGAACUGCGAGGAAGAAGAAGAAGAAGAAGAGUGUUAUGUGCGACGGGGAACGGAAGAUUUGAACUUGGCAGGGAAGGUUAUCUGUUAAUCGUAUCGCAUGAGAAAAGGUCCCACAGUGGGAAAGAGGCGCAGAAGGGCGAAGAUAUCGCAGCACGCAGUCACAGAAGCAAGUAUUUCGCACAGAAACACACGUUAAAUCAUAUGUAAACACAUGAUAUUCUGUUAAUACACUGGGUAAUGUUCCGCAACUGCACCUUUGCCCGAUAACUUUCUUUUUUCUCUAUAUAUACGUGCACAUAAUAUAUAUAUAUAUACAUAUAUAUAUUGUAUUCUCUCUCUGUUCACACGCGCCUGUGUUGUGUCACACUCUAUCACUGUAUGAUCGAUGUGCGUACUAUGUUCUUCUACUCCUUCGGUGUUUUCGACGUCACGACGACCAGCUGUGUCGUCCGGCGCCUUAAUUAAUCCCCUUCCUCCUCACCCCCCUCACCCCCCAAACCAGGAGCACGGUUUUGCACAUUUUUCGGGCACCUGUUGAUCUCUCUCGUACUACAUAGCCACUUUUCCGCACUUUAAAGUCGUUCGGAGAGUUCGAUGUCACCGCUGCACGCCGUGUCACACCGCACGUAGAAUCUCGUAUAACGCCUCACUGGCACACAAGCACCUCCAAAAGUCAAGUAUUGUGAACCGACACACGGGGCCCUUCAACAGCAUGGAAACCAGAGAUAGAAAGCAGUUUUCUAUGACGUCAUCAAGGACAGUAAGUGUCUAAUUUAAGACAAGGGACCGCAAGUAGUCGUGGAUCCUGGAAAUUGGACUUUCGAUUUCUAUCGGGGAAAGUAGAGGGAUCAGAAAGUGGAGAGUAGUAUGUUGUAAUAGAGACAGAGGAGAGAAAGAAUCGCGAUGCAGGCAACAGGGAGAGAGGACAGGGGUAAGAGCAGGAGGACCAGGAGAAAAAUCGAGUUUCGUUGUUGCCCACACUAUCGAGCACCUUAAUAAGCAUCCACGACCAGCACCAGCACCAUUCAUCACUGGCACUGCAUAUUAUUCUUCAGACACACGCCUUAGUGUCGACUAAGAGCCAUCCUUUUUUUACUAACGGCCUGAUUUCAGGACGCAGAAAUCCUCGAGAGCCUCUGUUGACAUUGAGUGGAACGAACCGUCGGGAAUUUUCGGAAAUGCGACAUUAACGAGACACGAUCGUGGACUAUACAACGAUCGCCGACCGAAUCGAGUCGAAUCGAAGAGAAACGAAGAGAAGAAGGAAAUCGAAAGAGAAUAGAAUAGGUGAUGUUCUUAUUGAUCUCCCUAUUCCGAUUAUAACCGAAGAUUUAGAAAAGUGUUCGAUGAAAGAAGAAAAGCAGCAAAGUAGAAAGACAAGAGAUAGAAUAAAAGUAGUUGAACGCGUUUAAGAAACGUUUCGUUUCCCAUGUAACGGAUGCCUACAUGGUUAUCGAUUGAUCGCCGGUCAUCGCUCAUCGUCCGCGUUUUCUUCCCUCAAGUCGCUCCCUACAGAAACGCUUCCUCCCCCUGCACAGCUAACGAAAAGUCGGCCUAAACUCUCAGCGUCGUGCCUUUUGACUGGCAAACGAAAAUCGAGCACGGUACGUGUAUACAAUAAAAAGCGCUAAAAACGAAACAACAACAAAAAAAAAUAAAAAGUAACAAAGGCGAAACUACAUAAAGAAUCGGUCCAAGAAGAGAGAAAAGAAGAAGAGGAGAGAAACAAAAGACACUUAAUUUUUAAUCGAUUCGAAAGCCAGCCCGGUUAAAUCCGGUGAAAACUGUAACAUAUAUGAUGGCGGUAUGCAUGUUCUGGCUUCUCACGUACGUGGGACAAGGGCUGGACUUGGCCGUGGGGAAUCAUCCGGUGAUCAUCAUGCAGGGUGCACAGGAGCAGGACUACCGGCACAGUAGCGGGAUCAGAAAGAAGAGCGAGCUAAACUCGGUAGGCAAUAACCUGUUGCACUUCAGGAUAUAUCCUCCCGAGGCCUCUCACCGAGACGACUUGUCCAACUGGUUGCUAUUGAACGACGAACCACGGAUUUCCUCGUGGACACCAGCUGGUAUAUUGAUCGACGAUAUGAUCAGAGAGCCUAGGGAGCUACAGACUAUAUUCUUUGCCCUGUCACCCGCUAUGUUGAACAUGCUCUACUCGGAAUACAUGAACACGGCGAAACAACCGGGCGAACAAUUUCUACACGAGGAUCAACAACAACAGCCAAUGGGCGGUGGCCCUCUGGGUAGUCAACGUACUAAGAAGCUACGAAUCGACUGUAGACACUCGAGAAAUACGGUCAGCCUGCCUAUAAGAGUAUGCGAUGACGAAACAGGACGCAAGAGCUUUCAAGAAACCAGACAAUCGAACUACGACGAUCUCUUCGAGCAGAAGUUAAACACUGCUGCGAACAUGAAGACUGACUCGAUAUCACGGGGACCUGAGAAGUACAGAGAUUAUCAGAACGGCGCGACGUUUGUGUCGAGGCCACCGUUUGGCCUGGACACAGCCAAGCCUCCUGGAAAAAGGAGCCAAACUUUUGGCGGACGCCGCUCCAUCGACCUCUCCGGAGAGUCGACUCCGCAUCAAGCUCAACCGCCGUCCUCCCUCGGGAACGGCAUCAACGUCGCUUCUCAAAUUAUGUUCAGAUCCACCAGGGGAAGCAUACAGUACGACGUACCGCAAAUCGAAUGUCCAAUCUCCGAAGACGGGAUGGAAAGGUUUGCGUGUCCCACAGCGGACAGAAUGGGUAGAUACCAUUGCAUCGACGAUCACGCCUUGUGCGACGGUUUCAUAGACUGCCCUACAGGCGAAGACGAGGACAGGCAAGCCUGCAUGUUUUACAAAACUUAGCGCACGAAAAUACCCGAACACUUAACACAGAAUUCUUUCAAGAAUAUAUUGUGUGCAUUGUGGGAAACUUUUUGAAAUUUCCUUAACGCUGUAAUGAGAUAUAACCACUACGACUACAAUGUGAACAGUGAAAGGAUCAACAAGAAGAUAUUUAUCCGGCAAAUUUCCUAUUUUUCAUCGCUUUAACCUUUACUAUAAUUUGAAUGAGAAAUAUACGUAGACGAAAGCUCACCUUGACGUAUUGGCAGAUGCCAUUUUGCGAUGGGCAAGAGGACGCUAAUUCCUUUGUUGACGAUGAACCUCUGACCUAUGCAUAAAAUCAUAAGUCUGACGAGUUUACUUCUUUAUACAUUCACGUAUAUACAUAUAUAUACAUAUAUAAUAUAUAUAUAUAUUUGUAUAUAUAUAAUAUAUGUAUAAUAUAGCAUAUAAUAUGUAUAUGAUAUAUUCCCAUGUAUGUGUACGUGUACUCACACUCUUGCGUACCCGCACACAUAUUCAGGGUUUUCGUUUCGUUGCUAGCGGACGUUUCUCUUGCGAGCAGUUCCAGAGGGGGAUAAAGGCAGUUGAGGUAAUUCUUCCUUACUUUUCGCAGAAAAAUGCGAUAAAAGAGAAAGAAAUUUAUUAACAAGCUCAAGACUAAUUGUUGGAUUUCGAUUGAAAAAAGAUCGGGUAUGGAAUGGAUAAUCCCAAAUAAUUGGACUUAGAUGUGAAAUUGUGGAUUCGAUGCAGUCUUGAAAAUAAAGAAACGUUAGCUUAUUUGAUGUAUUCGUUUAAUUCGAACGAACAUGUACUUUCAAAAUUCUUCGACAUUUUUGCAAGCGUAAUAUUAAAAUAUUUGCAUCUUUCUAAAUGUAUCAUUUUGAUCUAAUUGGUAUUCCUGCUAUAAAGAAAAGGCUUCAUUAAAAUUGAAUAUAUUGAAACCCCCAGGAUAAAACGAAAGGAGAAAUCAUUAGACUGCUACGCUAAAUGCUUAUGUACUUAUGAGACGCAAGAAUGCUCCUAAAAGACACAGCAUUCUAAAACACAGAAUGCCUCGAACCUCUGUUUAAAUUGUACUUCUUCAGUUGUAUUCGUGAAAAUAUGAAUCCGUAGAAACGUCCGCACUCUAAAAAUCAUUUAAUCUCCAAAACACGGAACAAGAGGAGAGAAUCAGGAUCUAUCAUCGAUCUACGGUGCUUCUAAAAUUCUUCUAAAAUUCUAAGAAAACCUAACGUCGCACGAAUCUGACCCUAGCGAAAUCGCAUUCCAAAUUCCACGAACAACUUCACGAAUCACUGGAAUUACUUUACGCGGUCACGUUUCACCGUGGAUGCGACUGCAAAACAUCCCCUCGUAUAUUCUCGGCGAUUUAAUCCGCUCGCAAAAGGAACGCGCGCUGACUAGAAGACGAACACCCUGCUCGCAUUCUCCCCGUUCUCCCGCAUCAUCUAUUUUGCAGAGAGUUUUCCCUUUCUCCCGUAUAUAACCGUAAAGAAAAACACACAUACACACACAGACAUACACACACAAACACAAACACAUAAUGAGAGAUAGAGAGAGCUUGCGUGUGUGCAUGCGGAAACGUGUGAAAGAAAGAGAGAGAGAGAGAGAGAGAGCGCGCGCGAGAGUGAGAUGUUCACGUUGAAAUCAAACUCAGGGGAACGUAAAGAUGAAUCGUUUCUCGAGCAACGCUCAGCCAAAAAAUAUGGCGGAUCCGUGCUCGAUUCUUCGAGGGGUGCGGAUUGAUUCUGACGCGGCCUCGUUUACACGCGUUCGCUACGUGUCCUCGCACGAGGAUAUCGCUGAAUCGAUAAUAUUUCGAUAGACAGGCCGUUGCUUGUUAAUUAAAUGGACGUGUUCUGCGGCUUGACGUUUAGAAGAUGAUAGCGAAGACAGGAAGUUGCGAUACGUUUGGCGCGAUUAACGCGAGCUUCCGACUGGUUCGGUGAUACGUUCUGAGAUACAUACUGUUGAUGGAUGACCGGAAGAGGGAUAUCGCGCGAUUCUAUCGUGAAACUUGUUCGUUCGAUCUUUCUUUCUUCUUUUUUCCUUACAUAGAAUCGCAGAAUUGAUCGGAGUUACGGCGGGUCAAUUGUGGAGAAUUUUCGAAUUAUUAAAGUUUGCGUUAAAGAUAUCGAAAUUAUUGGAAUAUCUGGGAAGUUUGAGAAUUUUUCGUGUUAUUAUUAUUCGUAGAAAUGUUUAAGUAUUUCAUUGUUACACGAUUCGUCGAACAUUGUGAAAAUAACGAAGCAGAAGCAUCGUAUCGAGGAAAAUGUUCUAUUUUAUUCAAAACACGUUUCUCCUGUGGCGAUACAACGAUUUGCACCCUUAACUAAUGCGUCAAAUAGUUGUUGCGCGUCUUUUUAUGGAAUUCCUUUGAGAAUGCUCGUCACAGCCUUCCGGAUGUCUCGAAUGUUAUCACAGCGUUUCUCCUUCGUUGUUUUUCGAAGCCGACGAGAUCGAAAGUAAUUGCACGAUGCUAAGUCCAGCGAACAGAGUAGCUGGUGCAAUAUUUUAAUUUAUUUGUUUUCAAGAGAAGCAGUUAUGGUCGCUGCAUUAUGGGCCGGUACAUUAUUACGCAACAGCACCAUAUUUUUCCACGCGUGAACCAACUCUACUCCAAUGUUGAUCGCUAUAAUUCUGCUCCUAAUGAUGACGAUGACGAAGGAUGUAUUUCUAUGUGAUAAAAUUUUCGCAUUGAUGUCGCUACUCGGUUUUUUAAAUCUUAAGUUGCUCCGUUAUUUUUGGAACAGAUUGUGUACUUUAAUUCUACCUUUUUGUAAAAUUGUAAAAUGUAGCAGGAUGCUGGAAGAUUUGAAAAUUAUUAGAGUUUGUUAAAAAUUUUGAAAAUAUUGGAAUAUUUGAGAAGUUCCUGAAUUUUCGAUGUUAUUAUUAUUUGUGUAAGCAUUAGCGUAUUUUAAGAAUGUAUACUUUUUUGUCGUUUUAAAAAACUUUGAAAGUAAUUUGUUGCGGAUGUUGAAACUGUUGGAACAUUUAGACAAUUUUUUUAUUACUAUAGGAGAUUUUUGAAAAGUUGGAAGUUUCAGAGUAAUUUAUUAUUAUUUUUCUAUUGUUUGAAAGAAUUGGAAUUAUUGAUAGACUGUUUAUUUAGUAAUUAUGAAUUAGCUUGAUGUAGAUGUUGAAGAUAUUGAGAAAUUUAAGAAGUUAGUAUAAUUAUUCGGUUUGUAAAAUACUUUGUUGUGAAUGUUGAAAAUUUUGAAGUAGACAUUUUACGAAACAUAUUAAAAUUAGAUUUCCGUAUUCUUCUAGGAUAAUUAUGAGCUUAGUACGAAUAUUAUAUAUAAACAAUUUAUACGUUGGUUUCGUAGAAAAGACAUUGAGAAAUUGAAAUGUCUGUUCUUUUGUAAAAUCCUUUCGAAUUAAUUUAAGUUAUUUAUACAAGAUUUAUAACUUCAUUUAUUUCAUCGAGAAUCUCAGCGUUUUAUUCUUUUGUACAAUUUCUUGAAGUAAAGGUAUAAAACGAAAAUCUUUUAUGAAUAAUUUUUCUCUCCUGUUAGAAUUCUACAAUUUCCUGUCAUCGAGAACGAACGAUCAAUUUUCUUGCUGUCGGAAACCCAUUUCUACGUCCAGAAUCAUCUGUCACUACAAGGGAAAGAAUUUCAUCUGUCAUUUCGGACAGGAUUUCGUUGUUCUCUGAUACCGUUUUCAAACGCGAUACCUCCUACAUCUAACGACUAUAUAAUUUAUGAAAAAUAAUGACAGUGAUUAAUCUCGAACUAAUAAUAAUAAUGAAUUGUAUAUUUCUCGAUUAACGAAUUGUUGUUUAUAAAUUAGAUAACAGAAACAGAUGCAUAAAUUCACCUUUUUUGCUGACAAAAAUCUACAUAAAAAUAUAAUAAUAUAAAAAUAAUAAAAUAUUGCGAUCUAAGGGCGGAAAACGAUUAAAAGUAUUCGAUCGAAUAAUUAUAGUACAAGGUUAACAAUUUAAUCAUUUUAAUCCAAAAAUCUCUCAUUUAAAAUAUAUUUUAAAAUAUGAGAACCUUCCUCGAUUUCCUCGUUUUCUGAAGAGCAGAAAAAGUAAUCUAUUGAGAUUAAAGAUUAUUAAAGAUUAAAAAAUAAUUUCGCUCUUUUCUCUCAUCUGUUUUUCAUAUUUAUUUACUGUAACUAAUUAAUUAUUAUUCUCUUAAUUUAUACUAAAUUUUAAUACUCACACGAGUGCGGAAAUUCCUUUUACGAUAUUUGCAUGAAACGGAUGAAUACUGUUGGUGGUAUAUUUCUAUUAACCGAAAUUUACGCUUCCUGUUAUAAAGUCUCCAUCAACCGAAAUGUAGUCUCAAUUUAAACAUCGUCAGAAGUAAAUCCCUAUUAAAAGUUUGCCACCAACUAAAAUUUACAUUAAAUUUAGAUACUAAUAGGAAUACACGAAUUUCUGUUAUGAAGUCUUUAUCAACUGAAAUUUACAUCAACUUUGGAUACUAUAGAAAUAAGAUUCUAUUAAAUCCUCUGUCGAACAAAAUUUAUAUUAAAUUCACACACUAGAUCCUUCCAAAAUCUCUUGAAAUCGCUUACAACUCUCCAAGUUACCAACUGAAAUUACAAUAUAACUCUAUUCAUCGAAACUCAUUAGGGGACAGUUCACGUAAUUAGACUUCAUACGAUAGCUAUGAUAGGAGACGAGUUACUGUCCUUUUUACUUAUGAUCUUUCAUUCGAAUAACGCAGUCAUAGAUUCAAUCCUCUCAGACAAUAUCUGAUACGAAAAAUGCAGAAAUGCUAAAAACCAUAAAAAGAUAAUUACCUUCUAAAUCGUUUAUUUCGAAUUCUUUUUCGUUUUAUUGCACUGUCAAAUGAUUAAUCGAGCCCUAACUAAAAUUUUGUUCUAAUAAAUGGAGUUCUACUAUAAUACACAAGAAAAAUUUCUAAAUUAACCCCUUUAAUUAACCCUUAAAAUCAAACCUUAUGGUAACUGAUUGCACGAUUAAAGAAACGAUGUCUAAUCUCUCUUUCCUCACCAUAAAUGAAGUGAUUUAAAGCGUGACAGCUUUAUUGGUUGUUUAAAAACUAAAUUAAACAAACAUAACACGUGAGUACGGAAGAAUUAAAUACAAAAUAAACAUCAAGUUGCAGACGCGUCCAGGACAAACUAUAUCGAUUUUCGCCUAACAGAAAACGCGUGAAAACGAGGCCGCCCAUCAUGGUAACCAGGUAUCCUCAUGUUAAAGUACAAAUUAAGGGUGUCCGAGGUUUCAAGGGGCGUAUAACAGUAACGUUCGUACGGCGGCACCAGGAGAUCUAUCCGGUUCGAUAUUGGCGCCGUCGCGUCGAUCCAUCCGCAGUCUCUUUGACUGCGACUUAACAAAACAAUCGAGCGAUUCCCGCGAGCCGUGUGAACUCAAAACCUUCGACGACUUUAUUUUCGUACGACGCGAACGCAGACUACAGAUUUCGAAGACUGAGAACGAAAAUAAAAAAAAGCCACUUUUAGUUGGCGCGUGGAAUCCUAUUGGACGACGACUUCCGAUUUCAAGGGACGACAAGAGUCCAAUACGAUUUCUGUGCAUCGAUCGUUCAGCCAUUUAUGCUUGAGUACACGCGGUAAGAUCGGACAUUUUUUGCAUGCGCGUUUAAUCAAACUGUUUCUCACGAUUAAUGAUCUUAUGAAACUUAACGAAAGAUCGAUGGAGAAAGAAUCGAUGAGCAAUCAUAAAUGGGCUGAAUCAUCCCCCUCUUGGUUUCCUCCUGCUGAAUUUCUCCUGUUGCGUUCCUGACGAUCCCUAUUCUUCUUCUUGUUUCUUUAAACCUCCUCGUUAGACCGUACGUAUUAUAUAGCUUAGCGGUAAAUGUUUGACUGUGUCUCAAGCGAUACCUUAACUUUAAUCUACAAAUCUGUUCGUGAAUCACGUAAAUAUGUGAAUCAUUAGAGCUUGUAAAGAUCGAGGAAAUAUAGUUGUAUCCUGUAACCUUGGAAUGGUGAGUUUUGAAUUUUACCAAAAUUGCAAAGAAAGAGAUUUUAUCAGAAUGGGAGAAAACAAAAUUCGAGGCUUUUUCGACAUUUCGAUAUUAAUACUUUAUCGGUGGGUGGGUUUCACUGAGAAAAACGAUUUUAUUUAAAAAAAAAAAAUUAAUUAAAUUAAUUGCACUAUCCAUAUGAAAAUUUUAACUACUGUUUUUACGUUUGUUUUAAUAUUAUUUCAUUACACAUAAGGUAUCAAUUGACCUGGCCUAUCGUUGAAGUGUUAAUUCGUAUAUUAUCUAAAGAAAAAUGAAUUUAACUUGGAUUUUAUUAAACAACCUCGUGAAUGAAUUAAAUUUUUCAGAUAGGGAAAGAACAAAUUUAUUCACAGAUUUAAAAAUUAUAUUUAUUUAAAGGAUCACGUACUCAAAAACUCUUUCCAAGGUUGUCUAAAAAAAAUACAGAAAAAGGAAGGAAGAGUAAGUCCUACAAUAUAAACAGAACCUCGAGAAAAUUACGAGCUCGCUUGUCCACGUUACGAGAAAAUGAUCAAGCUGUCGACUAUCGAGACGUCUCGAGAGAAACGAGACAAGCGUUUGCUGUACUGCCGUGUGUUUGCUUGUUUAUAAAAAAAAAAGAAAAAAAAAGAAAAAAAGGGAACGGUGAAAACGCACGUGGUCCGGAGAAUGUGCAGCCUUCUAGAAUUUGUUGGAGUACAUUACAUAUAUAUACACUUUUGUUUCAUCAAACUAGUCUGUAAGGAUUUACGAUUUAACAGAAGGAAAAAAAACAGAUAAAAAUACUAAAAAAAAAAAGAAAAAGGAAAAGAAUAAAAAACCUCCUAGGAUUAUGCGAAUAAAAAUAUAUACCGAUCUAUCGAUAGAAUAUAAAUCUCGGAUUGAAAGAAUGAGAAAAAUAUUGGCGAACACCGACGAGACUCAACUACGCAAUAUUACAACGUGUAUGAAUUGAAAAGGAAGAAGAUCGAAUCGUGGAAGUAGCAGAAGAAGUAGAAGAGACGUUUAGGCGCAGAGAGGAAAAAAUUCGCGAAUACACGUCAAGCGAAAAUUCCCUUCUUGCAAAAGGUCAAUUCAGUAUUACAGAGCGUUUAGAUUGUACAUUGUGAAGUUUCAUUUCGCGCUCGAACAAACGGUACGAAGCGAUCCGACGAGAUUGGCUCGCGUUGUUUCAUGGUCCUCGAUCGUUUCCAGACGGCCAACCUUGCGAUACUUGAUCUCUAAACUCUCGAGUCUGGAUCGCUCGUAGAUCUUGAGGAUCCGCGUGCUGCCAUGUCUCGUUUCUAGCAACGCGUCAAGUGCGAGAGAAUCGCUCGCAGUAGACACUUUUCCAUUUCGUAGUUUGACGUAAUUCGAGGAAGAAAAGCGCAUUUAUUCGACGACUUUGCUUAAUCGAGUCAUCUGAAUACAGGGUUGCACCCUUAACCCUCCGGGACCCAUUGUCACAUUUCACAGCUUCGAACGUUUCGUCUUUUUCAAUGAUAGAAUGAUUAGACAUAUAUAUAUAUAUAUAUAUAUAUAUACGUUGAUUGCUUUGAACGUCUUGCUUUUUCGUUGUUGUUUAUUUUAGGUGCAUUCUCGUUUAUGAAUCACCGGACCACCAGGUAAUUUUAAACAGAAACUUUAUUAACCCACUCGCGUGUCAAUUUCCUUCUCCCGAUUCUAUUUGUAUAUUUAUGCUAAUCUUUUUUAACGCAGAAAUUAAAUCAAAAUUGCAGCUUGGAAUUUUAUUCGAACGAAAUUUGUUCCCGUUUGAGAUUGUAAAUACGCGAUAACGACGAUGAGAGAAACUUCUUCAUGAUGAUUCAAUUUUAAUUUAAACGAAAUUCAUUUUGCGUUAUGAUCGAGUUAGAAUCGAAAUUGUAGCGUGCAGCAGCGAUGAUUAUUAAAUUUAAUUUUGAGCGCGACUGAGUUUAAAUGAAUCUUCAAUCAAAUUUUAGAAGCUUAGUAUAAUAUCUUUCCUCUUGUGGUAAAGAUACUUGGUAAAUAUCAGUUUCGCUUUUGUAAUUAGAUAUGUAUAACAUUAAUUUACUUCGAUUUUAAAUAAACUAAAUAUCUGGUGACUUAUGGAUGAUAGUUUGCACAUUUGCAAGCGUUUGAACAGCUUCCAAUGUCCUUAGCUUAGAAAUUAUUUAGGAGACCCUGGGUUCACGGAGGGCUAAGCGAACUGAACAUAUCAGAAUCUACGCUACGUAUUUUUCAUCAGAACAGAAUAUUUUUAAUAUUCACUGUGAACGACGCGCAUAUUUAGAACACUUCCUGUUGCUCAGCGGUUGUCUCUGGGGCAUUCAGCGACACGCAUGCGAAUUCCUUGUUCGGUGUGCGAUGUUCCAACAAGUGUUAUCAUGUUAAACGCUUAACCGGUCGUCUUGAGGCUUUUGUUUCGUGUGACUUCCAUGAUUAAUCUUGGCGAAGGAGUGAGAAGUUUAAUGAAAUUUCAUAUUUCAUUCCAUUUCUGACGUCUGGCGGAUAUCUAAUUGAACGUUUGCAUUCAAAUUACGUCUUCGAGAAUCAAAUGCUACUUAAAUCGCUUUAUAAUAAGAAUUCUAAUACAUUAAAAUGAUCCCAGAAAUACUUACAAAUUAAACGAUAUUUAGUUUGGAACAUCAAGUUGUAUAUUACUAAUCCUAAAUUAUUCCAAAGAUAUACAUUAUGUAUCAAUAAAAAAAAAAAAAAACGCAAAAAGAUUCUCAAUUAAUGAGAAAAGAUUCGAAAUAAUUUUUAUUUUGAAAUUAUUAUCGUUUUCGUUACUAUUGCAGAAUGUUAAAAAUGUAAAAGGGGAGAUUUAAAACUUUUAAAGCGCAUAGUACAUACUUACAAAGAGCAGGGAAAAAUAUUUGAUCAACAUAAAUUCUAUUUAAGAAACAGACACGUUAAACGGAUAUUAAGCAAAGAGAAAAUAGAAUUUUGUGCCUCGUUGCAAGCUUUUAUCGAUGUCAACGAUAAUCUCUCUUUCAGAUUUCUUUAUGAUUAAUUUCUUAUUCCUAACAAACGUAUGUUCGUAUUAUUCCUAUAUACGGAGUUGCACUUUAUUGUAAAGAAAUUAUUAUUAAACUCUAUGUUGAUUAAACAUUUUUUACUCCUCUCAGUGAAUAGUUUUAGACGUUUAUUGUUUAACUUAUCACUUAACUUGCGUCUAACAAUCCACUUACUUUAACCUUUUAUCUUUACAGAUUUAAAUUACUGUACCUUACACUAAAAUAUAUAUUAUAUAAAAAAAAUAUCACUUUUCUUCUUAUUAUUAAUUGUUUCUCAUUGUACGAAAAUUUAAUCAUUCUCUAUCAACAAACCGAAGAAAAACUUUGCAUGUUUGCUACGUAUGAUCAGUGUGAACUCGAACCGAAACAUUGCAAACGAAAGAUUCUCUCAUUGAACCUUCGCUCUCGUGAGUUUUUUCGAGUUUCUCGAUCAGGACGAAACAUUGCGAUUAAUACAACCGGUUGAGCGUCUCGACGCAUCAAGAAAUUGAUGUAACAGAGCGACGAAGCUCGGAGAACAAUCAGAACAAUCACGUUAGAUGACACCGGCAGUAAGUGAUCGUAUAAAUGAUAAAAAGAAGCGUCCAGUGGAUGGUGAGAACAAUCUAUCAAGACGUAGCACACGUUUAAGGUUCGAUGCAAACGUACGAUGCGACGUCAUUGGAAUUUUGUGUCAAAAUGAUAUUAUAAAAUUUUGCACAUUUAUUUGUACAUUUAUAAUUAAAUCGACAAUUUACGAAUUCAUAUACUUAAACAUACAUAACAUCGAACAUACAUAAAUAUGCAGGAAUAUAUGAAAAAUGCAGAAAUAUGCAGAAAAAUAUAUGCAUAUGUAUAAACAUAUAAAAUAUUCGGUAAUUCGUUAUAAUAUUCGAUAAAUGGAACAAAUCUUUGCUUACGUUCUAUUUCCUUAGAUGUGUUGGUAAAAAUCUGAAAUUGCAUAAACAUUUGCAGUUUACUAAUGAUAGGUCAUCCGGUUAUCGCAGAUACAAAGUUAUUGAAUUACAUAACGUUACUCGGAAAGGAUGACAGGAACUCUCAAAUCAACGUAAAAUAUUUGUAUCGAUGGUGAAUAUUUCGCAGAAAAUUAUUGAAGCAAUUAUAAACGAUAAUAAAAUAAUUAACGGUAAAAUUGUCAAGCUUUAAUUUUUUAUUACAAUAUUAGAUAUUUAUGACUGCAUCGUAAGGGAGUUGAUUGACUUUUUCACUGAUUUAAUCCUCCCUGUCAUAAACUCGUGUGCAUUGUAUCAUGAGAAAUAUAAAUUUAUCGAAUCUGGUCUACAUUCACCGAUACAAAAUCGCAAAGAAAUCGCAUCGAAACCUUAAAUACCCGCUACGAACCAAGAACGCCGCAUCGCAUCGUUCUAAAAGCAGCUUCUUUUUUUGAUACGACGACUAGCUUUAAUCUCUACACAGCGUGUGGAGACAAAUUUUCUCUGUCGUUGUCCUGUUAAAUGGAACAGAAAAUGAGAUGAGACGAGAACUGUUGUACACACCGUUGAGAUACGUAGGCGUUGCUACUUAACGUGCAUUUUUAUUGUCGCCAGCUCCGAGGAUAUAUUUUUAGACGAUACAUCUGUAUUAGGCUGGCUCAUAUUUUCGUCUUUUGAAUUUAUUUCGCGCCAUCCCGCGAAAUCGUUGCAAUUAAUAAACACACAAUCUGUGCCAUAAAUUUUGUUCCUCCACCUCGAUCGGAUCAAAAUAAUUAUUUAAACGUUUAUGAAAUCGGUUUUAUUCGAUUAUCCUCAAAAAGUAUUAGUUAUACUAAAAGGACUAUAUCAGACAAAAGUUGUAGAUCUAGACAAAAUGUAUGUUCUAUUACCUGUUUUCGUACGAAAUACAGUUUCCGAAAAGAAUGAAGAAAAACCAAGAAAGAUCGUAAGAACUUUUUUCUAAUUUCGAAAAUUAGAAGACGUUGAAGUCAAUUUUCGUUCACGAGAUAAUCGAAUAAAUCCGAUUUUAUAAGCAUUUAAAUAAUUAUUUUAAUGUUUAAGAGCCCAGAGGUACGUCUAUCCGUUAACCGAUCGAGAUCAAAUUUUGCCCAGAUCAUUUCUCUUUAUUAAUUGGAUUUAUUGGGAUUAUUAUAGAGGAGGGGGAGCGAAAGAAACCUUGAACAAAUUUUUCAUCAAGUGUAAAUAAGAGCCAGCCUAAUCUGUAUAUACGUAGACAUAUCCAUACGUUCAGAGAGAGAGAGAGAGAGAGAGGGAGAGAGAGGGAAAGAGAGGGGGAGAGAGAGGGAGAGAGAGAUGUAUAGACAUGUAAAAAAUGUAAAAAAGGAUACAGAGAGUGAGUGGGAGAAAGAACAUUUUAUGUAAAUUUUUCGGCCGGUGCCGUUUUUCCUUUUCGCGUGACAAAACGCCGCCGAAUCUCGACCGAAUCUCGCCUGUUUCUUUUUCAUGCUUCUCGAAUAAAUGUGCGAUGCUUGUUUCAUCCAGAUCGAGCUUUCUUACUCUUCUACGUUCUCCCGACACUUUUCUUUCGUGAUUUUCUUGGUAGUAUAGAUAUACGAUAACCACACGUAAUAUUGAAUACCUGAUUUUUAAGGCUUGAUAUAUUAAAUUACUACAUAAAUCCUGUGCCCGUUGAAAUACAUCUAGAGAUUUGAUUUGCAACAUCCAUUUCUGCAUAUACUGCGUUAUAUUUCUUUUAUAAAAAUUCACCGUUGAAUUUGUCAGUAAAAGAAAGAACUUAUUAUAAUUUUGAUAACCUGAAAAUUAUUCGAGAUUUAUCGUUCAAACUGUUUUGCUGGAAAAAGAUAACAUAAUAUGCAAAAAUAUGUAGAUUCAAUGUACAUAGAAUAUUCCUUACAACAACAAUUACUUAAUAAAUGAAACGAUCCGUUAUCUAAGUAGAAUAUUUCAAAUUAUAUUUAUAAUAAUAUUAAUUUGCAUAAAUGUCACGGUCUAAUUACGUUAGUACUUGAAUUAAUUAAAUUGAAUUCGUUCAAUUAAAAAUCGGCACGUCCAGUGAUAUUAUUUUUAUGUUUUACCUAUAGUCGUGAAAAGUGUAAAAAGAACAGUCAUUCGAUGUCCAUGACGCAAAGUUAAACGCGUAAAAUUAGGCUAAGCUAAAGUGAAGGGUAGAUAAAGCGAGACAAAGCAAGGGAAGUUGGAUUUUUAUCGAAAUUUGGGAAGUUGGAUUUUAAUGAAAAACGAGCCAGAUCGUAACAUUUUGGUCUCUUUAAUUGAAAUUAUAGGAUCAGUUGGCGACAAACGACUCAAAGCGAACAAAAAGAAUAGAUCGCGAGAGGAUGAUGUGUAAACGCAUGAAAAUUGGGUAAUGUUUUAAUCCGGUUGGUAUUACGUGACGCGGUGAGAAGUAAUUAAAGUGGCGUUUGAAUCCAAUUGAAGUUAUGCACUUGCUUGUGAAUCGUUAAUUACAUCGCGAAAAUGCGUUCCUCGGAAGUUAACUUCGUGCGAGUUAGGCUGAAGUUACAUGAUCCCGUGAAGAUAUUAAGGGAUGCAAGGAAGUCAAAGGGAAAUUAAUGUUUGGCAAAUUAAUGCGGUAUAAACGAGAUAACGUGAAAUAAAAAUUCUUUAACGAGUGAAACGUCAUAUAAGAAGAAAAUGUAUAAAUCAACGCAUAAAUUAACAUAGGGUAUUUUUGAACGAGUGGUAUAAUCCAGAAAAAGAUAUGUUUACUAUGUAUGAAGAAAUAAAUUGAAAAUGUAGAGUGGACAUGAAUAACCAUGAUUUUUUACCUAUACGAGAUUGGAUAUAAAUCCGAAUGAAAUGUUUUUCAAGUAAUUCGAUAUGUCAAUCGAAAUAUAAAAGAGCUAUUGUUUCUAUUGCUUUCUAUUUCAUUUAUUAAUACUUGCCUCUUUCUUUUUUCCUGUUUCUUUUAGGUGAUAAAUAAAUUAUAUUCGAGCUUUUAACGAGAUAGAAAAGUUAUGUAUUUUCAGCAGUUUUCUCUGUGGAACUUUCGGCGAACGCAUUCAACAGGUGAUUUAAAAACCAUAGUCUUCCCAGCCGUGAAUUAAGUGUUAUCGUAACUUUUAAUAUUUUCCUGUGAAAUCAGCCGCUAAAUGUCGGCUAAUUAGUCGGCGGAUGUAACGCGGCUUAAAACAAGCGGCUUUGUUAAUAAUUAAUCAAUUUCUGCCGCGGAGGUCGCUGGUAAAAUUCUGACGCUCCACUUGCACCGCUGAUUCAAUCCAGUAGACAAUCACUACCUGUAUUUAUCUCAUUAAUAUGUAAGAGAAACGUUCAGCGUUAUUAAUAUUUAAAAUGAAAAUUAAACAACAUCGGAUGAAAUAUUUUUCCAGUGUAAUUAUAACUUGAAUGAUCGAUAUACAUAAAUACUUACGAGCUUUUCCAUAUAUUUUUCGACUGAAUUGCCAGUAUCUAGAAAAUAAUCCAAGGUCGUGAUUCGACGGUUGCGCGUUCCAUUUCUAAAGAUUGGCCAGAAAUACUUGACAAAGAAAGUGCAAUAUAUUCGAUCCAUCAUUUUAUUUGAACCUUUCAACAUCGGUACAUAUCGUUAUUCUGUUUAUAAAAAUACCAUGUAAACACCUUGUUUAUACAAACAUAAUAUAAAAAUAUUCUGUUUAUAAAAAUAUAAGAACUGCAUGCAUUCUCGUUAUAAGAGAAGAUAUAUUCUAUAUCUCUCUAAGUAACUUUGACACACUUCAAAACGACAGCGUGUUUUUCAUGAAACAAUUGAUCGAUCGAUCGAUCGUUUCUCGUAUUACGAGACGCUUUAUUCGGAAUUUUUCAACGAUGUCUGGCUUUUUACUUCGUGAAAGGGACGGACGAUCGCACGAUAACCAGGGAGAACUUGAACGAAGAGAAAAAGAGCUUUGGUGUAACGUUGAAAGAACAUAUAUCCAGGAGAAACGAUCGAUUGCGCGUGCGUUACACGUCAAGUGUAAUAUGUACUACGUGUAUGAUAAGCUGCGACGAUGCGAUGAUGAAAAUAUAUGAGAGACGUAUCGUGUGCGACGCUUUCUGAACUGUUGCAGCUGAUCGUUUUAAUCGUUUCGACAAAACAAUUAUAUACGUUGUACCUUACGUCGAUUUAAACUAAGAUUAACAGCGAAAUUUCGAUCAGAUUCUCUGUCUUUAUUCCACCUACGUGUUAUAAUUUACAGGUAACAAUAAAGGUUUGCGUUGAGACACCUC